RNAcentral lists this ribosomal RNA (746 nucleotides) under Santessoniella polychidioides. RNAcentral's name for it is "SSU rRNA". It matches the Rfam family "Bacterial small subunit ribosomal RNA", at positions 400 to 1199 of the family's 1533-position model. The record is from RNAcentral. Lineage: Eukaryota; Fungi; Ascomycota; Lecanoromycetes; Peltigerales; Pannariaceae.
AGAAUGUAUAGCAAUAGCUAGUUGUAUCAACAUAAAAAAUAAAAAAAAUUAUGUCACAAUCUCGACUAGUUCGAAUAAAAUUCUAGGUAAAUUUAUGAUAAUGACAUUAUCUAUCUAUGUGUCUUGACCAAAAUACGUGCCAGCAGUCGCGGCAAUACGUAAAAGACUAGUGUUAUUCAUGUUUAAUUGGUUUAAAGCGUACCUAGACGGUAAUUAUAGCCUAAAUAAGGUACUUUUUUACUAGAGUUAUAUGUAAGGGUGUAUUAAAGUACUGUUGAGUUUAGAGAUGAAAUUCUUUGACACCAGAUAAUUGGCACAGGUAUAGGCGAAAGCAUCACUUUAUGUAAUAACUGACGUUGACGAACGAAGGCUAUGUGUCGCGAACAGGAUUAGAUACCCUAGUAGUCUUAGCAGAAAAUUAUGAAUGUCAUAGGUUAGAUUUUAUUUGGUCUAUAAAUGAAAGUGUAAGCAUUCCACCUCAAGAGUAAUUUGGCAACAUUGGAACUGAAAUCAUUAGACCGUUUCUGAAACCAGUAGUGAAGUAUGUUGUUUAAUUUGAUAAUCCGCAAAGAACCUUACCACAAUUUGAAUAUAAUUUUACAAGCGUUGCACGGCUGUCUUCAGUUAAUGUCGUGAGAUUUUGGUUUACUCCAUUUAAUUAACGUAAACCCUUACUUUAUUUUUAUAUAGAGUUUUCCACCGGUAUAUUGGAUGUGAUAAUAGGGACUAAGACAAGUCAUCAUGGC